RNAcentral lists this ribosomal RNA (402 nucleotides) under bacterium. RNAcentral's name for it is "partial 16S ribosomal RNA". It matches the Rfam family "Bacterial small subunit ribosomal RNA", at positions 355 to 776 of the family's 1533-position model. The record is from RNAcentral. RNAcentral also lists the same sequence under 1 other name.
UGGGGAAUUUUGCACAAUGGGGGAAACCCUGAUGCAGCGACGCCGCGUGAUUUAGAAGGCCUUCGGGUUGUAAAAAUCUUUUCUAUGGGAAGAAAAUGACAGUACCAUAGGAAUAAGGACCGGCUAAUUACGUGCCAGCAGCCGCGGUAAUACGUAAGGUCCGAGCGUUGUCCGGAAUCAUUGGGCGUAAAGGGUACGUAGGCGGGUAAGCAAGUUAGAAGUGAAAUCCUAUAGCUCAACUAUAGUAAGCUUUUAAAACUGCUCAUCUUGAGGUAUGGAAGGGAAAGUGGAAUUCCUAGUGUAGCGGUGAAAUGCGCAGAGAUUAGGAGGAAUACCGGUGGCGAAGGCGACUUUCUGGCCAUAACCUGACGCUGAGGUACGAAAGCGUGGGUAGCAAACAGG